GACCGGAUACUCGAGUGGUUCAGAGAACUGUCUGCAAAACAGUUUACGCGGGUUCGAAUCCCGCUCCGGUCUCAA
RNAcentral lists this transfer RNA (75 nucleotides) under Candidatus Woesebacteria bacterium. RNAcentral's name for it is "tRNA-Cys". It matches the Rfam family "tRNA". Rfam says of the family: Transfer RNA (tRNA) molecules are approximately 80 nucleotides in length. Their secondary structure includes four short double-helical elements and three loops (D, anti-codon, and T loops). The record is from RNAcentral. Lineage: Bacteria; Candidatus Woeseibacteriota.